Molecule: long non-coding RNA, 347 nt
Organism: Onychostruthus taczanowskii (white-rumped snowfinch)
Lineage: Eukaryota; Metazoa; Chordata; Aves; Passeriformes; Passeridae
Exons: 2
Source: RefSeq, a predicted model, not a curated record
UUUUGCCAAGUCUAGCUGUUCCAGUGCCCCUGUGCCCGGCCCAAGGCUCCCAGUCACGUGUACGGCGGGCACGGCAGCCACGUGACCAACGUGCGCUUCACGCACGACGACGGGCACCUGGUGUCGCUGGGCGGGAAGGACACCAGCGUCUUCCAGUGGCGCGUGCUGCCCGGCGACAGCGGCUGAGGCCCCGCCGCCUCCUCCUCCUCUUCCUCGCUGCUUCCUCCUCCCUUUUCCCCUUUCCUGGGACCAAAGAGCGGCUCGGGGGUCGGUUGGAAGCCUUCCUCCCGGCCGCGUUUUUCGCGCUGCACUGUGAGAGGCGUCAAUAAAAGCCUUUGGGGUCAGGG